AAUCUGGGGUCCCCCGACCCCCGAGUUGUAAUUUGGAGAGGCAUCUUCGGGGGGGAGCGCUGGCCCAUGUUCCUUGGAACAGGACGUCGCAGAGGGUGAGAAUCCCGUGCCAGGCCGGCUGCCUCCUCCCAGGUGGAGGGCCUUCGACGAGUCGAGUUGUUUGGGAAUGCAGCUCCAAGUGGGUGGUAAAUUUCAUCUAAAGCUAAAUACCGGCGGGAGACCGAUAGCGCACAAGUAGAGUGAUCGAAAGAUGAAAAGCACUUUGAAAAUAGAGUCAAAAAGUACGUGAAAUUGUUGAAAGGGAAGCGCUUGAGACCAGACUCAGACCCGAGCAAACACCGCGCCCCUCGGGGCCGUGCAAUUGCCUGGGGCUGGGCCAGCAUCAGUUGGCGUGGCGGGACAAAGGCGCGGGGAAUGUGGCUCCCCUCGGGGAGUGUUAUCAGGCCCGCGCUCAAUGCCGCCGCCGCCGACUGAGGACCGCGCCUCGGCUAGGAUGCUGGCAUAAUGGCCUUCAGCGACCCGUCUUGAAACACGGACCAAGGAGUCUAACAUCUAUGCGAGUGUUUGGGCGUCAAACCCUUGCGCGGAAUGAAAGUGAGCGGAGGUGGGAACCCCUUCGCAGGGCGCACCAUCGACCGAUCCUGAUGUCUUCGGAUGGAUUUGAGUA
RNAcentral lists this ribosomal RNA (667 nucleotides) under Helvella calycina. RNAcentral's name for it is "partial large subunit ribosomal RNA". It matches the Rfam family "Eukaryotic large subunit ribosomal RNA", at positions 119 to 796 of the family's 3401-position model. The record is from RNAcentral. Lineage: Eukaryota; Fungi; Ascomycota; Pezizomycetes; Pezizales; Helvellaceae.